AGAUCGGAGAAUCGGAAGCGGGGAUCGUCAUCAGCGCGUCGUUGUGAGUCCGAUGGUGUGUUCGGAUCGUCGAUCGGACUCCGGCGGCUGGAGGCGUGUCGACCGAGCGACCGAGCGUCUUGAUUGUCAGUUCGUUCGGCUCGCUCCUACCGAGGCACCGGAGCAGAGCUAGGAGGUCGCCAAUCCUGUGAGUUAAAGUCAUCUAAUCAUUGCGCUAUUGCUAAGUUUGAUUUUAAUAUGCUAUUUUGAAAGUUCAUGCUUAAUAUGGUUAUUAGUUUCGCAAAGUAAAUAAUUUCACUGAAUUACUAAUUAUUAAAGGUAAUAUAAGUAUUAUUAUAGUAAUGUUAUAAUAAUUCCAAAUAUCAUCAGUUUUCCACCUGAGCUGCCUGAUGUUUUACUCUUAAUUGUUAAUCAUUAAUUUGAUAUGGUUGAAUGACUUCAUUAUACAAUGAUAUUUAUUAAAUGGAUGAUUAUGUCUUGGGAAACGUGGCUUGUAGAACAUGCCGCCUGAUGGGUUACAUCAGGACCGCGUGCGCACCGGUAAUGAACAUGGACAUAAGGUUAUUAUGGAUUUGUUUGCCCUGAUCGAGCUUGCUCUCUGGGCGCCGGCUUAUUUGGAAUUCAAGUGUUCAGGCUGGAGGUAAGGACCCUGAUCGAGCUUGCUCUCUGGGCGCCAGACCUGUUGGAUUAAGAGAGCCGAAAGGCUACUAGAAUUUGGGGUUUAGGGUUCUACCGAGCCACUCGUUCCGUAAAAGUAAAUAUAUAUUUUUAUUUAUUUAUUUAUUAUGGUAUUUGAUUAUAAUGUGAUUUGUAUUUACGUGCAUGGUUGAUAUUUUGAUUCGAAUGAUUAAUAUUUUAUGUGAAGGAAAUAGUAGGGUACGAUUACAGUAUGGUUUGAUAUACUGAUUUGAAUAAUCUAUGUUUUUUGAGAAGAAGCAAUAGUCCCUAGAUUAUUUGAUUUUAACUCACUCUCGAGACUGACAGUCUCCAUUUAUUGUUUUUCAGAUUCGUGACUGUUAGUUCUCUCGCGACUCUUAUUCAGUAACCCGACUCCUUCAUCAUCGGGUGACGUAUCUGAUUUGGUAUGUAAAUUGGUAAAUCUUAGAUUCUCCGCAGUAGUAAUUAGCAGAUGUAUCAGUUGUAAAUUUUCUGAGCUUCGGGUCUCGUCUAGUUUUUCUGGUAGGCCGAAGUAAUUUUUGUAAAGUG
RNAcentral lists this long non-coding RNA (1206 nucleotides) under Ricinus communis (castor bean). RNAcentral describes it as "long non-coding RNA (RCOM_LNC001813)". Lineage: Eukaryota; Viridiplantae; Streptophyta; Magnoliopsida; Malpighiales; Euphorbiaceae. The record is from RNAcentral.